Molecule: ribosomal RNA, 400 nt
Filed under: uncultured bacterium
Lineage: Bacteria
Description: partial 16S ribosomal RNA
Rfam family: Archaeal small subunit ribosomal RNA
Source: RNAcentral
AUACCAGCACCCCGAGUGGUCGGGACGAUUAUUGGGCCUAAAGCAUCCGUAGCCGGUUCUGCAAGUCCCCCGUUAAAUCCAGCUGCUCAACAGAUGGGCCGCGGAGGAUACUACAGAGCUAGGAGGCAGGAGAGGCAAGCGGUACUCAGUGGGUAGGGGUAAAAUCCGUUGAUCCAUUGAAGACCACCAGUGGCGAAGGCGGCUUGCCAGAAUGCGCUCGACGGUGAGGGAGGAAAGCUGGGGGAGAAAACCGGAUUAGAUACCCGGGUAGUCCCAGCCGUAAACGAUGCAGACUCGGUGAUGGGUUGGCUUCGCGCUAACCCAGUGCCGCAGGGAAGCCGUUAAGUCUGCCGCCUGGGGAGUACGGUCGCAAGACUGAAACUCAAAGGAAUUGGCGGGG